ACCCAGGAGGGGUCUGUGUCAUGUGUUGCUCGUGGCCCCGCCAACCCAGGAAGAGUGGUCUUUAAGAGCGUGUUGGAUUCUGUGGGACUCGGAAGAGGUGCCUGAACUUCCCUGUGCUUUUGAAGUCAAGGGACUCCUCCCAGUGAUUAGGAGCAGUGGAACCGUCCGGAUCCUGCCCUUGGUCCAUGCCUUUGGCCUUUGGUCAUGUAGUGGCGGCCCUUUGGGCUCUGCCAUUUGUGUUUCAGAUCAUCAGUUCUGCUAUGUGAAUGGGCAGGACUCUCCAUCGCCUUGGCAAGACAAGGUGCUCCUCGUCCAGGAAGUGUUAGGAGUCCUAGGAGCCAGCUCCUCCCAUGGGAUGUGGGCUCCCGAUGGAGGACAGAGUCUCUUCAGGGCCCUCCUGGGCUACUGAAAUGGUCCAAGAAAACCCUUCAAGUUGACUUCCCUUCUCUAAUAUUCAAUUUUCUUGUCCAUCCAGUGGAAGAGUUGGAGUUGAUACUUGAUCCAUUUCAGCUCUAACUUACUAAAGUCUGUGAUGGCUCUGGACCUUCAUGUUUCAGGACCAGGCCUGGUCCUUCUCAGCUCUCACACUGAAGCCUCAGAACCAGCCUCACUUGGAGGGUGGUCUUCAGCUCCCAGCCAAAAGCCUCGCUUGAACCUCCUCACACUUCAAAGACAAGGAUGGUACCCGCAUGCCACUCAGCCCUUGGAAGGGAGAAACAGUUUGGCAAAGGCCACAGAAUGGACCUCGUCUCCUUACACCGAGCCCAGGGCUCCAUUCAGCAGCCACCUUUCCACCCCCACCCCCAUCUCCUCCCCUCACCCCGAUAUGCAUCUACAUGGCUGCAAACAAGAGCAGCCAAGUGUAGGACCUCCACCCACUGCCAUCAGCAGACACUCAAGUGGACAGGCUGGACUGGAGAACAAGAACAAGAAAGAUCCCUCGGUGUCUGCAAUGGCUCAAACUUGA
This 967-nucleotide long non-coding RNA is filed under the name Sus scrofa (pig). RNAcentral describes it as "lncRNA (ENSSSCG00025033374.1, ENSSSCG00035029175.1, ENSSSCG00070016854.1)". Lineage: Eukaryota; Metazoa; Chordata; Mammalia; Artiodactyla; Suidae. The record is from RNAcentral.